AGCAGCCGCGGUAAUUCCAGCUCCAAUAGCGUAUAUUAAAGUUGUUGCAGUUAAAAAGCUCGUAGUUGAAUUUCGGAAUCAGUACGUUGGUCGUGCCUUUGGUAUGUACUGGUGUCACUGAUUCCUCCCUUCUGACGAACCGUGAUGUCAUUAAUUUGGUGUUGCGGGGAAUCAGGACUGUUACUUUGAAAAAGUUAGAGUGUUUAAAGCAGGCUCACGCUUGAAUACAUUAGCAUGGAAUAAUGAAAUAGGACGUUUGAUUCUAUUUUGUUGGUUUCUAGGAUCGACGUAAUGAUUAAUAGGGAUAGUUGGGGGCAGUUAGUAUUCAAUUGUCAGAGGUGAAAUUCUUGGAUUUAUUGAAGACUAACUACUGCGAAAGCAUUUGCCAAGGAUGUUUUCAUUAAUCAAGAACGAAAGUUAGGGGAUCGAAGACGAUCAGAUACCGUCGUAGUCUUAACCAUAAACUAUAGCCGACUAGGGACCGGAUGAUGUUAAUUUUAUAAUGACUCAUUCGGACG
This 518-nucleotide ribosomal RNA is filed under the name uncultured fungus. RNAcentral's name for it is "SSU rRNA". It matches the Rfam family "Eukaryotic small subunit ribosomal RNA", at positions 569 to 1086 of the family's 1831-position model. The record is from RNAcentral. Lineage: Eukaryota; Fungi.